Non-coding RNA from Zea mays, 108 nucleotides. NCBI's taxonomy places the organism in Eukaryota, Viridiplantae, Streptophyta, Magnoliopsida, Poales, Poaceae. The record is from Rfam.
ACAGGAAGGAAGCAUGGUAGUGUGCACGGAGAAGGAGGAGGUCUGCAUGUCUGCUCGCUUUGAUGCCCUCGGGCUCUGAUCUCGCGGGCCUGGAUUCGACCUACACGC